Molecule: non-coding RNA, 135 nt
Organism: Triticum aestivum (bread wheat)
Lineage: Eukaryota; Viridiplantae; Streptophyta; Magnoliopsida; Poales; Poaceae
Source: Rfam
AACAUACUCCCUCCGUCCCAAAAUUCUUGUCCCAGAUUUGUCUAGAUACGGAUGUAUCUAACACUAAAACGUAACUAGAUACAUCCGUAUUUAGACAAAUCUAAGACAAGAAUUUUGGGACGGAGGGAGUACUAU